GAUGAAGAACGUAGCGAAAUGCGAUAAGUAAUGUGAAUUGCAGAAUUCAGUGAAUCAUCGAAUCUUUGAACGCACAUUGCGCCCGCCAGUAUUCUGGCGGGCAUGUCUGUUCGAGCGUCAUUUCAACCAUCAAGCCCCCGGCUUGUGUUGGGGACCUGCGGCUGCCGCAGGCCCUGAAAACCAGUGGCGGGCUCGCUGUCACACCGAGCGUAGUAGAUUUUCAUCUCGCUCAGGGCGUGCUGCGGGUUCCGGCCGUAAAAAGCCUUAUUUACCCAAGGUUGACCUCGGAUCAGGUAGGAAGACCCGCUGAACUUAAGCAUAUCAAUAAGCGGAGGA
RNAcentral lists this unclassified non-coding RNA (336 nucleotides) under soil metagenome. RNAcentral's name for it is "partial contains 5.8S ribosomal RNA, internal transcribed spacer 2, and large subunit ribosomal RNA". The stretch from base 1 to 120 matches the Rfam family "5.8S ribosomal RNA", at positions 35 to 154 of the family's 154-position model. The record is from RNAcentral.